Molecule: long non-coding RNA, 530 nt
Filed under: Hordeum vulgare
Lineage: Eukaryota; Viridiplantae; Streptophyta; Magnoliopsida; Poales; Poaceae
Description: long non-coding RNA (HVUL_LNC007784)
Source: RNAcentral
AACUGCCUUACCCGGCUCGAACGUCGACUCUCGGCCAAUAUCCAGGGCGCCGUCUCUCAUGUGAUCUUCUAUUCCGACGCCAUUCAAAUGGAACAACGCCGCAUUCUGACGUCCUCAUCCACGCGGACGGGGCUGCCUUCUUCACGCACUGGAACGAAGAUAACGGCGACCGCCCAUCCGGCCUGCGGAAUACAACAUCACUGCUAGUUCUUGAUUCACACAUUGGACUUAAAGGUGAGAAUGCCGGAGAUGAUUUACAGCAAAAUAAUGGUUUUAUCUGCAUCAACAAAAAUUACUCUCAGGACACUCUCAAAAUCGUCACUGAAACUUCUUGAAAAACUGUAGUUGUGAUUAAACUUUAGGAGCCAGCGUUACUAGCGAUUUAGAGAAUAACGGGACAAACUACAUGAGAUUGUGAUCUACACUUUGAGAUGUGACAUCAUGAUAUCUUAUGGGUUUGUCUCUGAAUUUUGCUCCAUACACAGGGUCGUGAUUCGGCUCUCUGCAAAAGAAAAAAGACAAAGGAGGGG